AAUGAACGCUGGCGGCGCGCUUAACACAUGCAAGUCGAGCGACAAAGCCCCUUCGGGGGUGAGUAGAGCGGCGGACGGGUGAGUAACACGUGAAAAUCUACCCUUUAGUGAAGAAUACCCUCGAGAAAUUGAGGUUAAUACUGCAUAAUUCCCUUCGGGGACAAAGGUGGCCUCUUGCUGCCGCUAAAGGAUGAGUUCGCGGGCUAUUAGCUUGUUGGUGGGGUAAAGGCCUACCAAGGCGAUGAUGGCUAGCCGGCCUGAGAGGGUGUACGGCCACACUGGAACUUAGACACGGUCCAG
RNAcentral lists this ribosomal RNA (300 nucleotides) under uncultured bacterium. RNAcentral describes it as "bacterial SSU rRNA". It matches the Rfam family "Bacterial small subunit ribosomal RNA", at positions 29 to 334 of the family's 1533-position model. The record is from RNAcentral.